Molecule: ribosomal RNA, 375 nt
Filed under: uncultured bacterium
Lineage: Bacteria
Description: bacterial SSU rRNA
Rfam family: Bacterial small subunit ribosomal RNA
Source: RNAcentral
GAAGCCCCGGCUAACUACGUGCCAGCAGCCGCGGUAAUACGUAGGUAGCAAGCGUUGUCCGGAUUUACUGGGUGUAAAGGGUGUGCAGCCGGCCUUGCAAGUCAGAUGUGAAAACCAGGGGCUUAACUUAUGGAUUGCAUUUGAAACUGUUGGUCUUGAGUAUAGGAGAGGCAGCCGGAAUUCCUAGUGUAGCGGUGAAAUGCGUAGAUAUUGGGAGGAACACCAGUGGCGAAGGCGGCUUACUGGACGUCAACUGACGGUGAGGCGCGAAAGCAUGGGUAGCAAACAGGAUUAGAUACCCUGGUAGUCCAUGCCGUAAACGAUCAAUACUAGGUGUGGGGGGACUGACCCCUUCCGUGCCGGAGUAACACAAUA